AUGUACCAGUCGUACACUGCGGUUCCUGCGCGCCGUCCGCACCCACCUGACGACUGUUCGCCACGUUUUGUAAGCC
Molecule: small RNA, 76 nt
Filed under: Xanthomonas axonopodis pv. vasculorum
Lineage: Bacteria; Pseudomonadati; Pseudomonadota; Gammaproteobacteria; Lysobacterales; Lysobacteraceae
Description: sX9
Rfam family: Xanthomonas sRNA sX9
Source: RNAcentral